Molecule: ribosomal RNA, 744 nt
Filed under: uncultured cyanobacterium
Lineage: Bacteria; Bacillati; Cyanobacteriota
Description: bacterial SSU rRNA
Rfam family: Bacterial small subunit ribosomal RNA
Source: RNAcentral
AGAGUUUGAUCCUGGCUCAGGAUGAACGCUGGCGGUAUGCUUAACACAUGCAAGUCGAACGGAACCCUUCGGGGUUUAGUGGCGGACGGGUGAGUAACGCGUGAGAAUCGGCCCUCAGGUUGGGGACAACCAUUGGAAACGGUGGCUAAUACCGAAUAAGCCGAAAGGUGAAAGAUUAAUUGCCUGGGGAAGAGCUCGCGUCUGAUUAGCUAGUAGGUGUGGUAAGAGCGCACCUAGGCGACGAUCAGUAGCUGGUCUGAGAGGAUGAUCAGCCACACUGGGACUGAGACACGGCCCAGACUCCUACGGGAGGCAGCAGUGGGGAAUUUUCCGCAAUGGGCGAAAGCCUGACGGAGCAAUACCGCGUGAGGGAGGAAGGCUCUUGGGUUGUAAACCUCUUUUCUCAGGGAAGAAUGAUGACGGUACCUGAGGAAUAAGCAUCGGCUAACUCCGUGCCAGCAGCCGCGGUAAUACGGAGGAUGCAAGCGUUAUCCGGAAUGAUUGGGCGUAAAGCGUCCGCAGGUGGCAAUGUAAGUCUGCUGUCAAAGCGUCUGGCUCAACCAGAUAAAGGCAGUGGAAACUACAUAGCUAGAGUAAGGUAGGGGUAGAGGGAAUUCCUGGUGUAGCGGUGAAAUGCGUAGAGAUCAGGAAGAACACCGGUGGCGAAAGCGCUCUGCUGGACCUUAACUGACACUGAGGGACGAAAGCUAGGGGAGCGAAUGGGAUUAGAUACCCCGGUAGUCC